RNAcentral lists this ribosomal RNA (468 nucleotides) under uncultured bacterium. RNAcentral describes it as "partial 16S ribosomal RNA". It matches the Rfam family "Bacterial small subunit ribosomal RNA", at positions 28 to 507 of the family's 1533-position model. The record is from RNAcentral.
GACGAACGCUGGCGGCGUGCUUAACACAUGCAAGUCGAACGGAAAGGCCCUGCUUUUGUGGGGUGCUCGAGUGGCGAACGGGUGAGUAACACGUGAGUAACCUGCCCUUGACUUUGGGAUAACUUCAGGAAACUGGGGCUAAUACCGGAUAGGAGCUCCUGCUGCAUGGUGGGGGUUGGAAAGUUUCGGCGGUUGGGGAUGGACUCGCGGCUUAUCAGCUUGUUGGUGGGGUAGUGGCUUACCAAGGCUUUGGCGGGUAGCCGGCCUGAGAGGGUGACCGGCCACAUUGGGACUGAGAUACGGCCCAGACUCCUACGGGAGGCAGCAGUGGGGAAUAUUGCACAAUGGGCGGAAGCCUGAUGCAGCACCGCCGCGUGCGGGAUGACGGCCUUCGGGUUGUAAACCGCUUUCGCCUGUGACGAAGCGUGAGUGACGGUAAUGGGUAAAGAAGCACCGGCUAACUACGUG